UUAGGAAUCUUCCACAAUGGGCGAAAGCCUGAUGGAGCGACGCCGCGUGAGGGAUGAAGGCCUUAGGGUUGUAAACCUCUAAAAGAGGGACGAUAAUGACGGUACCGGGAGAAGAAGCUGCGGCUAACUACGUGCCAGCAGCCGCGGUAAUACGUAGGCAGCAAGCGUUGUUCGGAGUUACUGGGCGUAAAGAGUGCGUAGGCGGUUUUCUAAGUUCGGUGUGAAAUCUCCCGGCUUAACUGGGAGGGUGCGCCGAAGACUGGGAUGCUGGAGUGAGGGAAAGGCAGGCGGAAUUCCUGGUGUAGCGGUGAAAUGCGUAGAUAUCAGGAGGAACACCGGCGGUGUAGACGGCUUGCUAGACCAUAACUGACGCUGAGGCACGAAAGCGUGGGUAGCAAACA
Molecule: ribosomal RNA, 401 nt
Filed under: uncultured bacterium
Lineage: Bacteria
Description: bacterial SSU rRNA
Rfam family: Bacterial small subunit ribosomal RNA
Source: RNAcentral